UGAAGUGACUAUAUAAAGGACUUUAUAGCCUAAAUUCAUUAGGGGUUCUUUUGGAGAAAAUUGGUGAGAACUUGUCUCUCCAUUUCUCUCUAAAGAGGCCGGCCCCCUUGGAGGGUGUAUCUAGCAAUUCCACUACUCCAAGGUCACUCAUUUUCUUCUCCAAUCUCUCCUUGGUGUGGAGACUUAGAGGUUCUCAAUUUUGGGAACUUGGAGAAACCUUUUCAUCCAUCCAAAUCCAUAGAUUUUAGAUGCAAGGAAUGAAGGCCCUCUCUUUGGGUGAUUAGCCUUUGCUUAUGUAAAGAGGAAUCUACAAAGGUAUAAUUUCAACUCUCUUUGGGUGAUUAGCCUUUGCUCAUGAAUGUUCUUUAUUGUUCUUAACAUUUUUGCCAAGAACAAAAAGUUUUGUGUUUUGAUUCAAAGUUUUGAUUUCUUUCAUAAAGUUUAUGUUUUAUGUUUUUCAAAUGUUUAAAUGUUUUAGAUAUUUGUUUAAAAGGUGAUAGAAAUAAUGGUGGGUGUGAAAGGAUUAAUUCCCUUUCACACACACCACUUGUGCACUUGCAUGCUUUAUGUCAAAACUCACAAAUCAACACACACAUCACUCACAUCUCCUCUCCAAAACCGGC
This 623-nucleotide long non-coding RNA is filed under the name Malus domestica (apple). RNAcentral's name for it is "long non-coding RNA (MDOM_LNC020059)". Lineage: Eukaryota; Viridiplantae; Streptophyta; Magnoliopsida; Rosales; Rosaceae. The record is from RNAcentral.